AUUGAACGCUGGCGGCAUGCCUUACACAUGCAAGUCGAACGGUAACAGGUCUUCGGAUGCUGACGAGUGGCGAACGGGUGAGUAAUACAUCGGAACGUGCCUAGUAGUGGGGGAUAACUACUCGAAGGAGUGGCUAAUACCGCAUGAGAUCUACGGAUGAAAGCAGGGGAUCGCAAGACCUUGUGCUACUAGAGCGGCCGAUGGCAGAUUAGGUAGUUGGUGGGAUAAAAGCUUACCAAGCCGACGAUCUGUAGCUGGCCUGGGAGGACGAUCAGCCACCCUGGGACUGAGACACGGCCCAGACUCCUACGGGAGGCAGCAGUGGGGAAUUUUGGACAAUGGGCGCAAGCCUGAUCCAGCAAUGCCGCGUGCAGGAUGAAGGCCUUCGGGUUGUAAACUGCUUUUGUACGGAACGAAAAGCCCCGGGUUAAUACCCUGGGGUCAUGACGGUACCGUAAGAAUAAGCACCGGCUAACUACGUGCCAGCCGCCGCCGUAA
Molecule: ribosomal RNA, 498 nt
Filed under: uncultured bacterium
Lineage: Bacteria
Description: partial 16S ribosomal RNA
Rfam family: Bacterial small subunit ribosomal RNA
Source: RNAcentral